RNAcentral lists this ribosomal RNA (481 nucleotides) under uncultured bacterium. Its description in RNAcentral is "partial 16S ribosomal RNA". It matches the Rfam family "Bacterial small subunit ribosomal RNA", at positions 28 to 507 of the family's 1533-position model. The record is from RNAcentral.
GAUGAACGCUGGCGGCGUGCCUAACACAUGCCAGUCGAACGGAGAUUACGGACGGAAGUUUUCGGAUGGAAGACUGUAAUUCUUAGUGGCGGACGGGUGAGUAACGCGUGGGCAACCUGCCCUAUACAGGGGGAUAGCAGCUGGAAACGGCUGGUAAGACCGCAUAAGUCGGCGAGACCGCAUGGUUUUGCCGGGAAAUGAGCAAUCAGGUAUAGGAUGGGCCCGCGUCCGAUUAGCCAGUUGGCAGGGUAAAAGCCUACCAAAGCAACGAUCGGAAGCCGGACUGAGAGGUCGGACGGCCACAUUGGGACUGAGACACGGCCCAAACUCCUACGGGAGGCAGCAGUGGGGGAUAUUGCACAAUGGAGGAAACUCUGAUGCAGCGACGCCGCGUGAGUGAAGAAGUAUUUCGGUAUGUAAAGCUCUAUCAGCAGGGAAGAUGAUGACGGUACCUGACUAAGAAGCCCCGGCUAACUACGUG